Pelobates cultripes (western spadefoot toad) is the source of this 608-nucleotide non-coding RNA. The record is from the annotation of a GenBank genome assembly. Lineage: Eukaryota; Metazoa; Chordata; Amphibia; Anura; Pelobatidae.
GUUCAGCAAUAUUCUUGGGAUGUCUGGUGUGAAUCGCUUUCUUGAGGUCAUGCCACAGCAUCUCAGUCGGGUUGAGGUCAGGACUCUGACUGGGCCACUUUAGAAGGCGUAUUUUCUUCUGUUUAAGCCAUUCUGUUGUUGAUUUACUUCUAUGCUUUGGGUCAUUGUCCUGUUGCAACACCCAUCUUCUGUUGAGCUUCAGCUGGUAGACAGAUGGCCUUAAGUUCUCCUGAAAAUGUCUUGAUAAACUUGGGAAUUAAUUUUUCCUUCGAUGAUAGCAAUCCGUCCAGGCCCUGACGCAGCAAAGCAGCCCCAAACCAUGAUGCCCCCACCACCAUACUUCACAGUUGGGAUGAGGUUUUGAUGUUGGUGUGCUGUGCCUUUUUUUCGCCACACAUAGUGUUGUGUGUUUCUUCCAAACAACUCAACUUUGGUUUCAUCUGUCCACAGAAUAUUUUGCCAGUACUGCUGUGGAACAUCCAGGUUCUCUUGUGCAAACUGUAAACGUGCAGCAAUGUUUUGUUUGGACAGCAGUGGCUUCCUCUGGUAUCCUCCCAUGGAAUCCAUACUUGUUUAGUGUUUUACGUAUUGUAGAUUCGCGAAAACAG